Cornus florida is the source of this 1248-nucleotide long non-coding RNA. RefSeq lists it as uncharacterized. The record is from RefSeq and is a predicted model, not a curated record. Lineage: Eukaryota; Viridiplantae; Streptophyta; Magnoliopsida; Cornales; Cornaceae. The transcript has 2 exons.
GGGACAUGAGCCCUGACUCACUUUAUCCACGACCUAAGAGAUAUAACCUAAAUGACCUAGGGCUAUAAAGAGGUGGCUGAAAGAAAAAAUAAGGGUGAAGAAAUUGGGCUCUGUCAGCACUCUAGACUUGAGCCUUCUCUACCAUCGUUUUCAAUCCUUAGGUUGGACUGAUUUCUCUCCUCAAUCCCCUCUUCUUUAUUCCUCACAUUGAUUUAUUGAUAUUCCCAGAUAUGAUUUCAUUCGUAGUUUGACUUGAAAAUCAAGUACAUACACCGGUUUUAUCCCCCAGCGGGUAUACUAUUGGAGAAUGGAUUUUUAAUUUCUUAGGGUGCUCCGUUCUAUUUGUUUUGGAUUUCGGCGUUUCGCUCAUGCACUCAAGCACUGUGUUUCUGGCGUUUACGAGAUGGAAGGGUUUUUGCAGCAGGUUUGUUGCUCCUUACUCUUGUUCCGGUUAAUUCUGCCUCUUCUUCGGCGGCCAUCGGCAAUGGGUCAUGGCUGGAUGUUGCUGGAAUGAGUGGUCAAGCUGGAUAACAUCCGGGGCGUGGGUCUUCUACUGCUCGCCAUGCUCGGUGGUGGUUCUACAUUGUAUAUGGAGUUUAAAGUGAUGAUGGCUCUCUAGUAAAGUCUCGCUCCCUUCUAUCAUGUUUCCAUGCGACCCCCUAUUAUCCUCGUUUCUCGCAUUGUGCUAUGUGGGGUCCCUUUUUGGUUCAUAGGUCAAACCCUAUAAUGUUGGUGCGUGGGGAAGGUGCAAUGCUUGAUCAUUCUAUAAAGUUGGGCCCAUUACUUAUGGACUCUGAUACAGAUGCAGAUGCUGACAAGUACAUGGUUGAAUUAGUGGGGUUGUCAUAUGGGUUUGCUACAUAGUUUCGCCGUGAUAUAAGGCCAACUUUGCUACCUUCCAUUAAACGCCUUUGAUGAUGGUUCUAACCCAAGGCAGGUCCAAUGGUUGUUGGGUUGCUGGAUGUGGGUUCUGGUUACCAGUCUCUUUGAUAAGGUCUGUAAAGAUAUUAAUAUACCGCGUCCACCCAAUUUGGAACCCACGCCAGGGUCAAGUCAAGUACCACGAUAAUGGCCUUUGUGUUGCGUUACAACAGCUUUGCUUUGUUUUUGGAUGUUAUGGAGGGGAUUGAAUACCUUUUGUGGUUGUUGAAUUGUUGUGUUUCUCUCAGAUGGUAGCUUUGUUUGUUGCCUGUUGUUUGUCUGAUCACAUUCGUGUGUUCGCAAUAAAUGUUCUUUAUAAUUGUGUUA